RNAcentral lists this ribosomal RNA (497 nucleotides) under uncultured bacterium. Its description in RNAcentral is "partial 16S ribosomal RNA". It matches the Rfam family "Bacterial small subunit ribosomal RNA", at positions 28 to 507 of the family's 1533-position model. The record is from RNAcentral.
GAUGAACGCUGGCGGCGUGCCUAAUACAUGCAAGUCGAGCGAACAGACGAGGAGCUUGCUCCUCUGACGUUAGCGGCGGACGGGUGAGUAACACGUGGAUAACCUACCUAUAAGACUGGGAUAACUUCGGGAAACCGGAGCUAAUACCGGAGAAUAUAUUGAACCGCAUGGUUCAAUAGUGAAAGACGGUUUUGCUGUCACUUAUAGAUGGAUCCGCGCCGCAUUAGCUAGUUGGUAAGGUAACGGCUUACCAAGGCAACGAUGCGUAGCCGACCUGAGAGGGUGAUCGGCCACACUGGAGCUGAGACGCGGACCAGGCGCCUACGGGAGGCAGCAGUAGGGAAUCUUCGGCAGUGGGCGAAAGCCUGACGGAGCAACGCCGCGUGAGUGAUGAAGGUCUUCGGAUCGUAAAACUCUGUUAUUAGGGAAGAACAACUGUGUAAGUAACUAUGCACGUCUUGACGGUACCUAAUCAGAAAGCCACGGCUAACUACGUG